AUUGAACGCUGGCGGCAGGCCUAACACAUGCAAGUCGAACGGUAACAGGAAGAAGCUUGCUUCUUUGCUGACGAGUGGCGGACGGGUGAGUAAUGUCUGGGAAACUGCCUGAUGGAGGGGGAUAACUACUGGAAACGGUAGCUAAUACCGCAUAACGUCGCAAGACCAAAGAGGGGGACCUUCGGGCCUCUUGCCAUCGGAUGUGCCCAGAUGGGAUUAGCUAGUAGGUGGGGUAACGGCUCACCUAGGCGACGAUCCCUAGCUGGUCUGAGAGGAUGACCAGCCACACUGGAACUGAGACACGGUCCAGGCUCCUACGGGAGGCAGCAGUGGGGAAUAUUGCACAAUGGGCGCAAGCCUGAUGCAGCCAUGCCGCGUGUAUGAAGAAGGCCUUCGAGUUGUAAAGUACUUUCAGCGGGGAGGAAGGGAGUAAAGUUAAUACCUUUACUCAUUGACGUUACCCGCAGAAGAAGCACCGGCUAACUCCGUG
Molecule: ribosomal RNA, 490 nt
Filed under: uncultured bacterium
Lineage: Bacteria
Description: partial 16S ribosomal RNA
Rfam family: Bacterial small subunit ribosomal RNA
Source: RNAcentral